CUAUCGCGCCUUGCCACGCCCGCUCGUCAGAGUUUGAUCCUGGCUCAGAACGAACGCUGGCGGCAGGCUUAACACAUGCAAGUCGAGCGCACUCUUUUAGAGUGAGCGGCAAACGGGUGAGUAACGCGUGGGAAUCUACCCCUCUCUACGGAAUAACACAGAGAAAUUUGUGCUAAUACCGUAUACGUCCCUUUUGGGAGAAAGAUUUAUCGGAGAUGGAUGAGCCCGCGUUGGAUUAGCUAGUUGGUGAGGUAACGGCCCACCAAGCGACGAUCCAUAGCUGGUCUGAGAGGAUGAUCAGCCACACUGGGACUGAGACACGGUCCAG
This 328-nucleotide ribosomal RNA is filed under the name uncultured bacterium. RNAcentral describes it as "bacterial SSU rRNA". It matches the Rfam family "Bacterial small subunit ribosomal RNA", at positions 1 to 334 of the family's 1533-position model. The record is from RNAcentral.